CGAGCCGGCCGGGCGGUCGCGUCGGGAGUGCCCAGCGCACUUCCGCCGAGGAACGUCCGGGCUCCACAGGGCAGGAUGGUGGGUAACACCCACCCGGGGUGACCCGCGGGACAGUGCCACAGAAAGCAGACCGCCGGGCCGUCCUCGGACGGACCCGGUAAGGGUGAAACGGUGGUGUAAGAGACCACCAGCGCCCAGGGUGACCUGGGCGGCUAGGUAAACCCCAUCCGGAGCAAGGUCAAGAGGGGCCGCGGGAUCGCGGCCCUGCGCGGACGAUCGAGGGCGGCCCGCCCGAGUCCGCGGGUAGACCGCACGAGGCCGGUGGUAACACCGGUCCCAGAUGGAUGACCGCCACCCCGGCGGCCGCAAGGCCGCCAGGUGACAGAACCCGGCGUACAGGCCGACUCGUCCG
This 412-nucleotide RNase P RNA is filed under the name Streptomyces smyrnaeus. Its description in RNAcentral is "RNase P RNA component class A". It matches the Rfam family "Bacterial RNase P class A". Rfam says of the family: Ribonuclease P (RNase P) is a ubiquitous endoribonuclease, found in archaea, bacteria and eukarya as well as chloroplasts and mitochondria. RNAcentral also lists the same sequence under 3 other names. The record is from RNAcentral. Lineage: Bacteria; Bacillati; Actinomycetota; Actinomycetes; Kitasatosporales; Streptomycetaceae.